RNAcentral lists this ribosomal RNA (305 nucleotides) under uncultured bacterium. RNAcentral's name for it is "bacterial SSU rRNA". It matches the Rfam family "Bacterial small subunit ribosomal RNA", at positions 337 to 660 of the family's 1533-position model. The record is from RNAcentral.
UCCUACGGGGGGCAGCAGUGGGGGAUAUUGCACAAUGGGGGGAACCCUGAUGCAGCGACGCCGCGUGGGUGAAGAAGCGCCUCGGCGCGUAAAGCCCUGUCAGCAGGGAAGAAAAUGACGGUACCUGAAGAAGAAGCCCCGGCUAACUACGUGCCAGCAGCCGCGGUAAUACGUAGGGAGCGAGCGUUGUCCGGAAUUACUGGGUGUAAAGGGAGCGUAGGCGGGACUGCAAGUUGGGUGUCAAAUCUACCGGCUCAACCGGUAGCCGCACUCAAAACUGCAGUUCUUGAGUGAAGUAGAGGCAG